RNAcentral lists this long non-coding RNA (1023 nucleotides) under Cricetulus griseus (Chinese hamster). RNAcentral's name for it is "lncRNA (ENSCGRG00015032811.1)". Lineage: Eukaryota; Metazoa; Chordata; Mammalia; Rodentia; Cricetidae. The record is from RNAcentral.
GACAAUAGCAGGAGAUGUAGUGGAAAGAAGGGGAAGACUGAACCCCCCCACCCAUCCCCCCUUUUCUCUGUCUGAAAUCGGAUUCUGAUGUAGGUUGUUCACUGUCUCCUCCUUCAAGCUCCUUAAACCCCAAAGCCACGUCUAUCCGAUUGAAAUUGUACAACCGGCUUGUGGCACAGAACCUGCUUAGAAGCAAGGAAUAAAUGUGUGUUGCGCAGACGGAUUAAAUGAAAGAGCAUUCCCUUGGCCCGAGUCCAUGACAUCCUGGACUCUUCUUCUCUUUAGCAGGUGGCCUGGCUUGCUUUUUCCCCUGUGGACUCACACUCAGUAGUUGCUGCUGUCAGGGUUUCCUUCUUCACUACUGGGUGCCCUCCCCGAUUCUAGCCUCUAAACUGACGGUGAGUAAGCCUGUAAUCCCAGCAGCCUCAGUUUUCUCCUCAGUAGUCCUUGACUCCUUCUGAGAUGGGAUGGGAUUCCAGUCGGCUGAGCAUGGAGUUGUUCACGUGGUGCUUCCAACCCGACUCCUACAAGGCUUCCUUUGUUCUGCCGGGAAAGGCUUCACCACUCUCUCUUCUAAGACGUCUCCCCCUGCUGGCUGCAAGCAGACUGUCAGUGCCAGAUUCGAACGCCCUAGAAUUUCAAGUGGCAGUUUGCAAGCCCCCGAGCCUGUGUGUCAGAUGUCACUGUGUGUCAGAUGGACUCCAGCCGAUCUCAGGAGUGAGAUAUUGAGGAUAUAUUUUCUUUUCUCCUCCUCAAUUUUUCUUUCUCCCUUUUCUGAGGCAUGCUCUUUUAGCCCAGACCGGCCUCCUGCCUCCACUGUGAGUCCUAGGUUUACAUUCAUGUGCCGCCGUGUCCAGUUUUCUGGUGAGGAGGACUGACCCCAGGGCUUUGUGGGUGAUACCUAAGCACCCUGCCAACUGAGUUACAUCCCCACCCGGCUUUGGCGGAUUCAUUCUGUGGUUCCAAAUGCUCUUGAGAAGACUUUGAAGAUACGGCUUUAUUCUGUAUUUAAAUAAAAAAAAA